Molecule: ribosomal RNA, 548 nt
Filed under: uncultured Glomus
Lineage: Eukaryota; Fungi; Glomeromycota; Glomeromycetes; Glomerales; Glomeraceae
Description: SSU rRNA
Rfam family: Eukaryotic small subunit ribosomal RNA
Source: RNAcentral
UUGGAGGGCAAGUCUGGUGCCAGCAGCCGCGGUAAUUCCAGCUCCAAUAGCGUAUAUUAAAGUUGUUGCAGUUAAAAAGCUCGUAGUUGAAUUUCGAGACCGGCUUAUUGGUCGUGCUAUUGUACGUACUGGUAUAAUCGGUUUCUCCUUUCUGACGAACUAUAAUGCCAUUAAUUUGGUGUUUUAGGGAAUCAGGACUGUUACUUUGAAAAAAUUAGAGUGUUUAAAGCAGGCUCACGCUUGAAUACAUUGGCAUGGAAUAACGGAAUAGGACGUUUGAUUCUAUUUUGUUGGUUUCUAGGAUCGACGUAAUGAUUAAUAGGGAUAGUUGGGGGCAUUAGUAUUCAAUUGUCAGAGGUGAAAUUCUUGGAUUUAUUGAAGACUAACUACUGCGAAAGCAUUUGCCAAGGAUGUUUUCAUUAAUCAAGAACGAAAGUUAGGGGAUCGAAGACGAUCAGAUACCGUCGUAGUCUUAACCAUAAACUAUGCCGACUAGGGAUCGGAUGAUGUUAAUUUUUUAAUGACUCAUUCGGCGCCUUACGGGAAAC